UCCAGGGGCGGGGGGGGGAGGGGGGCCUGCAUUCCAGCCUUUACACAUCAGUCUUUUACAAGGCAAGAAGCUGGGUCCGGCUUUACUGAAUAACAAUUCUUUCCCAACGAACGAUCACAGGCUCUCAAGGUGCAAGACAAAAAGGAAAUGUGCCAACGGGCCAGCCCAAGAGCGAGGUGCAAGUACGUCUGGUGCCUCCCACAGAUCACAACCACCUGCUUCUCUGUUCAGGAAACUGGUGCUGCACAAACACAUCCCUGCCCUGGGAGGUGUCCGAGGCAACAGAGAAGACAGAAGAGGCGGGUGAGAGGAUCGGGCUGGGGGCAGAUAGGACAAAGGAGCAGCAGGAACCGGAGGCUGUAGAAGGGACCAGCCGUGUGUCCAGUUCACAGAUGCCGAGUCGCAAGCAAAGAAAUCACCGCGUCCUCCUCCAGCUUCCCUAGCCAGUGCUGUCCUGAUUAUUCACAAUCACCAGCUCCCUUAGCCCUGCAUCACUGAGGAGACGGCCACUGGCCUGGGGCCCUGGAGGAAGGAGGCGGGAAACUGAGCAGGAGCCAAAAUCGUAAACCAGAAAGGAGGCACCUGCCUGUGACGGGACCCCGGACGGCCGAGUUCUUACUUGGAACCAGCAGCUAAAAGGCUCCAUGUCCGGCUCCCAGUCCCCCUAGCCCCUGCCCAGGCCCCGAGCACCCUUGACCCAUGGAUCUCAAAGAGCUUUACACAGCUACGCCCUACACUGCCUCUCCGAGGGAGGUGAACGAAGCCAUUCCUGUUUUUCAAGGCCACACAGGGGUCGGAGUAGCCGUUGGCAUCCAUGGCAGCCAGGUGUGCACAGCGGAUGAUGCCGACCAAGAGGCCUUGCUUCUGGGAGCUGUACUUGAGGGAGAUGAGGAUCCGGC
Trachemys scripta elegans is the source of this 899-nucleotide long non-coding RNA. RefSeq lists it as uncharacterized. The record is from RefSeq and is a predicted model, not a curated record. The transcript has 4 exons. NCBI's taxonomy places the organism in Eukaryota, Metazoa, Chordata, Testudines, Emydidae.